UACGUAGGGUGCAAGCGUUGUCCGGAAUCAUUGGGCGUAAAGCGCGUGUAGGCGGCUUGUUAAGUCCGCUCUGAAAGCCCGGGGCUCAACCCCGGGAGGCGGGUGGAUACUGGCAAGCUCGAGUCCGGAAGAGGCGAGUGGAAUUCCUGGUGUAGCGGUGAAAUGCGCAGAUAUCGGGAGGAACACCAAUGGCGAAGGCAGCUCGCUGGGACGUGACUGACGCUGAGACGCGAAAGCGUGGGGAGCAAACAGG
This 253-nucleotide ribosomal RNA is filed under the name uncultured bacterium. RNAcentral describes it as "partial 16S ribosomal RNA". It matches the Rfam family "Bacterial small subunit ribosomal RNA", at positions 524 to 776 of the family's 1533-position model. The record is from RNAcentral.